GACGAACGCUGGCGGCGCGCCUAACACAUGCAAGUCGAGCGAUGAACAUUGAAUGAUCCCUUCGGGGCGAUUUCGAUCGGAUUAGCGGCGAACGGGUGAGUAACGCGUGAGGAACCUGCCUCUUACAACGGGAUAGCCUCGGGAAACCGGGAUUAAUACCGUAUAAGACUCCGACAUCUCCUGAUGAUGAAGUCAAAGCGUUAGCGGUAAGAGAUGGCCUCGCGUCUGAUUAGCUUGUUGGCGGGGUAGCCGCCCACCAAGGCGACGAUCAGUAACCGGCCUGAGAGGGUGAACGGUCACAUUGGAACUGAGACACGGUCCAAACUCCUACAGGAGGCAGCAGUGGGGAAUCUUGCACAAUGGGGCAACCCUGAUGCAGCGACGCCGCGUGAGCGAUGAAGGUUUUCGAAUCGUAAAGCUCAGUCCUAUGGGAAGAUAAUGACGGUACCAUGGGAGGAAGCCCCGGCUAACUACGUGCCAGCCGCCGCAGUAA
Molecule: ribosomal RNA, 493 nt
Filed under: uncultured bacterium
Lineage: Bacteria
Description: partial 16S ribosomal RNA
Rfam family: Bacterial small subunit ribosomal RNA
Source: RNAcentral